CCCUUAGAUGUUCUGGGCUGCACGCGCGCUACACUGAAGCGUUCAACGAGUAUUCACCUUGCCCGGGAGGGUUGGGUAAUCUUUUGAAAACGCUUCGUGAUGGGGAUAGAUUAUUGCAAUUAUUAAUCUUCAACGAGGAAUUCCUAGUAAGCGCGAGUCAUCAGCUCGUGCUGAUUACGUCCCUGCCCUUUGUACACACCGCCCGUCGCUCCUACCGAUUGAAUGGUCCGGUGAAGCCUCCGGAUUGGCGCGCACCUCGGUGCCGCCGAGAAGUUGGCUAAACCUUACCAUUUAGAGGAAGGUGAANUCGUANCA
Molecule: ribosomal RNA, 315 nt
Filed under: uncultured eukaryote
Lineage: Eukaryota
Description: partial 18S ribosomal RNA
Rfam family: Eukaryotic small subunit ribosomal RNA
Source: RNAcentral